AUUGAUCGCUGGCGGCAGGCGUAACCCAUGCAAGUCGAGCGGGGGAAGGUAGCUUGCUACCGGACCUAGCGGCGGACGGGUGAGUAAUGCUUAGGAAUCUGGCUAUUAGGUGGGGACAACAUCUCGAAAGGGAUGCUAAUACCGCACACGUCCUACGGGAGAAAGUAGGGGAACUUCGGACAUUGCGCUAAUAGAUGAGCCUAAGUCAGAUUAGCUAGUUGGUGGGGUAAAGGCAUACCAAGGCGACGAUAUGUAGCGGGUCUGAGAGUAUGAUCCGCCCCACUGGGACUGAGACACGGACCAGACUCCUACGGGAGGCAGCAGUGGGGAAUAUUGGACAAGUGGGGGAACCCUGAUCCAGCCAUGCCGCGUGUGUGAAGAAGGCCUUAUGGUUGUAAAGCACUUUAAGCGAGGAGGAGGCUACUUUAGUUAAGACCUAGAGAUAGUGGACGUUACUCGCAGAAUAAGCACCGGCUAACUCUGUGCCAGCCGCCGCAGUAA
This 501-nucleotide ribosomal RNA is filed under the name uncultured bacterium. RNAcentral's name for it is "partial 16S ribosomal RNA". It matches the Rfam family "Bacterial small subunit ribosomal RNA", at positions 30 to 523 of the family's 1533-position model. The record is from RNAcentral.